This 552-nucleotide long non-coding RNA is filed under the name Anas platyrhynchos platyrhynchos (common mallard). Its description in RNAcentral is "lncRNA (ENSAPLG00000028716.1)". The record is from RNAcentral. Lineage: Eukaryota; Metazoa; Chordata; Aves; Anseriformes; Anatidae.
GACCCCCCCGGUGCCCCCCCCAGAGCCCCCAGGACCUGGAGCUGGUGGAGGGGGCGCAGGAGAAUUUCCGGCAGCUGGUGCUGGAGCUGCUGGGGGACAGCCGGCGGCGGGCGGCCUACCUGGAGGACGCGGCGGGCCGUGACUACGGGGAGCCGUUCCUGCAGGCGCUGGAGAGCCUCUUCCACGAGUUCCUGCUGCGCCUCGAGAGCGCCCUGCCCCCCCCCGACGUCACCCAGUUACAGGAAGUGGUGUGGGGCCAAUCAGGGCCCGGGCCCCGCCCCCGGGAGCUGCCAAUCCUGCGCCGGUACCUGGCGGACGUGGGCCACGCCCACCUCGAAUUCCUCGGUGACGUCAGCAGCGACUCGGAGGCAGAGGAGGUGCCACGCCGGAAGGUUAAUUAGGGGGGGGGAGGGUUUAAUUAGAAUGGGGAGGGGUUAAUUAGGGGGCGUGGCUAAUUAACGGCCCCUCCCCCUUGCUGUUCCCGCCUCCAGGCCCGCCUCCUGCCCCUCCCCCGCCGUGCUGCGCUGCUGGCAGGUCGGUGCUAACGAUCCG